ACACCGGCAGCCCGAGUGGUGGCCACUUUUAUUGGGCCUAAAGCGUCCGUAGCCGGUCUGGUAAGUCCCUGUGUAAAUCCUCAGGCUCAACCUGAGGAAGUGCGGGGAUACUGCCAGACUAGGGGCCGGGAGACGCGGAGGGUACUCCAGGGGUAGCGGUGAAAUGCUGUAAUCCCUGGGGGACCACCAGUGGCGAAGGCGCUCCGCGAGAACGGGCCCGACGGUGAGGGACGAAAGCCAGGGGAGCGAACGGGAUUAGAAACCCUAGUAGUCC
This 274-nucleotide ribosomal RNA is filed under the name uncultured bacterium. RNAcentral describes it as "partial 16S ribosomal RNA". It matches the Rfam family "Archaeal small subunit ribosomal RNA", at positions 473 to 747 of the family's 1478-position model. The record is from RNAcentral.